UACGUAGGGUGCGAGCGUUAAUCGGAAUUACUGGGCGUAAAGUGUGCGCAGGCGGCCGAGCAAGUCGAGUGUGAAAGCCCCGGGCUUAACUUGGGAAUUGCGCUCGAAACUACUUGGCUGGAGUGUGGCAGAGGAAGGUGGAAUUCCAGGUGUAGCGGUGAAAUGCGUAGAGAUCUGGAGGAACACCGAUGGCGAAGGCAGGUCUCUGGGCUGACACUGACGCUCAUGCACGAAAGCGUGGGGAGCAAACAGG
RNAcentral lists this ribosomal RNA (253 nucleotides) under uncultured bacterium. RNAcentral describes it as "partial 16S ribosomal RNA". It matches the Rfam family "Bacterial small subunit ribosomal RNA", at positions 524 to 776 of the family's 1533-position model. The record is from RNAcentral.